This 405-nucleotide ribosomal RNA is filed under the name uncultured bacterium. Its description in RNAcentral is "partial 16S ribosomal RNA". It matches the Rfam family "Bacterial small subunit ribosomal RNA", at positions 28 to 526 of the family's 1533-position model. The record is from RNAcentral.
GACGAACGCUGGCGGCGUGCUUAACACAUGCAAGUCGAACGAGUGGCGAACGGGUGAGUAACACGUGGGUGAUCUGCCUUGCACUUCGGGAUAAGCUUGGGAAACUGGGUCUAAUACCGGAUAUUGCAAGAUGAGCUCGCGGCCUAUCAGCUUGUUGGUGGGGUAAUGCCUACCAAGGCGCGACGGGUAGCCGGCCGGAGAGGGUGUACGGGCACAUUGGGAUGGAGAUCAGGCCCAGACUCCUACGGGAGGCAGCAGUGGGGAAUAUUGGACAAUGGGCGGAAGCCUGAUGCAGCCAUGCCGCGUGUGUGAAGAAGGCCUUCGGGUUGUAAAGCACUUUCAGCGGGGAGGCGUUACCAACAGAAGAAGCACCGGCUAACUCCGUGCCAGCAGCCGCGGUAAUUC